GAACUACUCCCUCCGUCCGAAAAUACUUGUCCUAAAGAUGAACGUAUUUAGACUUAUUUUAGUCAUAGAUACGUUCAUUAUAUUCAUUUCUAAGACAAGUAUUUCCGGACAGAGGGAGUAGUUU
Molecule: non-coding RNA, 124 nt
Organism: Hordeum vulgare subsp. vulgare (domesticated barley)
Lineage: Eukaryota; Viridiplantae; Streptophyta; Magnoliopsida; Poales; Poaceae
Source: Rfam